RNAcentral lists this long non-coding RNA (473 nucleotides) under Mus spicilegus (steppe mouse). Its description in RNAcentral is "lncRNA (ENSMSIG00000011311.1)". The record is from RNAcentral. Lineage: Eukaryota; Metazoa; Chordata; Mammalia; Rodentia; Muridae.
GGCUUUUCUGUCUAGUGUGGGUGGUGUCCACUGGGCUGAGAUAACCUCCUGCCGGAGUCGCUGUGCUGGCAUGGCCUGACAUUUGUUACCGGGAUGGAACAUCUGGACCGUGUGUGGUUGGCAGCUGCAGCAAGAGCCGCAAGUCCUAGUCACCUCGUGUGUCUGCCCCAGCCCAGGCCUGGCAAGGUGGCAGGAAAGGCACCAGACCUGGGGGAAGAGCAUGUUCAAAGGCUCCAAGAACAAGGCUGUGACCCAAGACUGACCCAGAGUGACAAUGACAUGAAAAUCAAGGUGCUGGAGGGCAGAGACUCUGCAGUUAACAGUAUGCAAGGCUCUUACAGAGACUCUGAGUUCAGAGUCCCAGCACUCUUGCUGGGCUGCUCACAACCGCCUGAGACUGGAGCUCUGGCCUUCACAUACCUGCCUCACAGACUGUAAAAAUAAAGUCAACUGAGGGCUAGAGAGAUGGCUCA